UCACGCCAGUGAUACAGAGAUGUUUCUAAUAUACAACUAUUUGGCGGGUGGUAAUUUGGAAAAGUUUAUUCAGGAAAGGUCUACAAGGGCUGUGGAUUGGAGGGUACUUCACAAGAUUGCUUUGGACAUAGCCCGUGCACUUGCCUACCUACAUGAUCAAUGCGUACCACGUGUUCUUCAUCGGGACGUCAAGCCGAGCAAUAUUUUGUUGGAUGAUGAUUUUAAUGCGUAUCUCUCAGACUUUGGUUUGGCCAGACUUCUGGGAACUUCAGAGACUCAUGCUACUACCGGUGUUGCUGGAACGUUUGGAUAUGUUGCCCCGGAAUAUGCAAUGACUUGCCGAGUUUCAGAUAAGGCUGAUGUAUAUAGUUAUGGCGUUGUGCUACUGGAGUUACUCUCUGACAAGAAGGCACUGGAUCCCUCCUUCUCUUCGUAUGGAAAUGGAUUCAACAUCGUUCAGUGGUCAUGUAUGCUUCUUCGGCAAGGCCGGGCAAAGGAAUUCUUCACCGCUGGGUUAUGGGAUGCAGGUCCCCAUGAUGACUUAGUAGAAGUUCUUCACUUGGCAGUAGUGUGCACGGUUGACUCUCUCUCAACUAGGCCUACAAUGAGGCAAGUUGUACGACGGCUUAAGCAACUUCAGCCUCCAUCUUGCUAGCUGCUUUACAAGGUUUGUAGUGGUUAACAUUAGUAGUCUGUAGAAAGAGGAGCUCCAUUUGUCACAUGUGCCUGCGCAUUCGGUGCGCUUUGGUGACACUGGUGCUAGGUUGAUUUCUAAACCUUAGUGAUCCAACUUGUACAUUGUAUGAUAGUUCUGCCCCCAAUUUUUUUCAAUGUUUCUUCUCCGAAUAGGGGCCUGGCCAGCGAAUCUGCAGAAGAAUGCAGAUAUUCCAUUUCCUCGUCUUAUACGUGUAUAUUCAGCUUCAUUUGUUCAAUAAAACAUAGAGUUGAUAUGUUUUCUGGAAAUUAUAGAAACUUUUUAGCAUCGUCAAGUUAUUCAUAUCUGUUUUAUGAUGCGCAGAAAUGGUCGGUCAUUGACCUAUCCAAGGAUCGAGGAACAAAUCACACAUGCAUCAACAUCUUCAGUUCUUUGAACGAAAACGAACUUUAAAAGCGACAUAAAGACAUGGACACUUACAGUAUCAUGAUCAUUCGCUUGCGACAUUUAUAACAUACAUGAGCAUGCAAUCGUCUUUAAAACACUGAUCACCAAUGCCGGAAUACUGAUUCUCAAUCACUUGCGUUACAAGCCUCUUGCCAAGCAGAGUCGAUCUUAACUACAAAACAAGGGAUCAGAAUCUUUCUUUGGUGGACGGAACACAUACGCUUCCCUAGCCAUUCGUGUUCUUUUGGGAUUUUUCUCUUGUACACACGCAUUGGCCCUCCCUCCUUUGCCUGUCUGGACCUCGUCAACAACACUAGGGUAUGUCCCCAACGUCCCAUCUAAAGGUUUUGUGGGCCCCACUCCUCCCUUCUGGGAGGACAUACCACGCGGGUUCCUUUUUCUUCGGCCACCUGUGCAGAGGUCUUCAGUCUUGAGGAAUCCUUUUUUCUUCUUAUUCCUUCCCUUUCUCACUCACUUAUAAAUCUGGUAAGUUUUUACACAAUCCGUUAACAAGACACGUAAAGAACCCGUUAAUAACAGAUCUUUAACAGAUUUACACAAGAAUGACAAGCAAGUAACCCAUUCUGAUACGUUAAGAAAAAAAAUUAUUUUGAUGAUUUUAAUUUUUUAAACUAUUAAAAAAAACUUGCUAUAAAGUACAAUAGCCGUAGUGUAUAUGUAAUUAUGUAUAUAUGGUGUAUUAAAAAUGUAUUAUUAUAUAUAAAUUUUAAUAUUUUAAGAUUUAUUAUUUAUUUGAGUAAAUUACACAGUAACCCUUCAGGUUUGAGGUAUUGCACAAACUCAUACAACAUCUUUAAAACAUUUCACUUUCAUACCUUAUGUACCAUUUUAUUUCAAAAUAAUACCUUCGUUACAUUUUUCAUCCAUUAAUCCGUUAAAUGCUGACGUGGCAGCCACGUGACAAAUUUUUUUUUAUUUUUAAAAAAAAAAACCUAAAUCUUCUAAAUAAAUAUUAAAAAAAAAAAAAAAAAAAAACUGAAACCUUCCCUUAUCCUCCUCUCCAAAGGGAAGGAAAAAAAAACCCAUAUCACGUCUACGCCGCCAUCACCGGGUUCGUGAGUUGGAAUCGGGUGCAAGGGUAGGUGCGGGUGCUAGGGGAAGACGAACUGGGUUGUUUUUUUUUUUUUUUUUUUUUUUUGGGUUGUAGGAAGGUGUUUUGGGGGAAGAAGAUGAACAUGGAGGAAUGAGAAGGGGAAGGAGAAUGGUGGGGUGGGGUGAGGGUAGGGGUGGGGGUUUGGGGGGUUAUCAUUUAUGGGCUUCUGGUUUGAGGGGGACGCGGGUGGGGUGGGGUGGGGGGGGGGUACGGGGGUGGUUUAUUUCAGUUUAUUUUUUAUUUUUUAUAUUUAUUUAGAAGAUUUAGGUUUUUUUUUUUUAAAUUAAAAACUUUUUUUUGCCACGUGACACACAUUUGGCAGCCAUGUGGUAGCCACGUCAGCACUUAACGGAUUAAUAGAUGAAAAAUGUAAUGGAGGUAUUAUUUUGAAAUAAAAUGGUAUGUGAAGUAUGAAAGUGAAAUGUUUUAAAGAUGUUGUAUGAGUUUGUGCAAGACCUCAAACCUGAGGGGUUACUGUGUAAUUUACCCUAUUUAUUUUUAUAGUAUACCAUAGGCAAAGAGUGAGAUUAAAAAAAUUAUAAGACACAUUAGAAAUAAAAAUAUAAUUUAAAAAUACCAAAUGCAACUCUCUUCAUUUUGCAUAUCCUUGAACAUUUGGUAUUUGUAAUAAUAUACUAAUGUUUUUUCAUUAGGCUCUUAUUUUGGGGUAUGUAAACUUGAUAGACAAAUGUUUUGUUUUAUUUUAUUUUUUAUUUUAAUGUUUUGAAGUAAUUUACGUGGCAAUGUGGCAUGCAUAUACUAAUUUAGUAUUGUAUUUUUCAAUUUUUUUUUGUAAAAUUAUGUUUUGCAUUUUCAUUAUUUAUUGAUUUAAAAUAUAUCUUCUUUAACAUGUAACAUGUCGGGUCAUAUUACCUGAUAAUAUUAACGGGGGGUCAUAUUACUCGUUUACUUUAACGGGUAUUACACAACACGACCGGUUAAGGUAUCAGAUAUGUCACGAAAAUGACACGAACACAAAAAACACGACACGAAUGAGAAGUCUACUCAUUUAACAACAAAGAGCUUUCGCAAGGAGAAUCACCUUACAACAACCAAAAUGUGUUUGGAGGCGUUAUUUCAAAUUAAUCAAUCAAUGUUUAUGUGGUAAGUAAAAAAAAUUCAACAGCCACCAAAUACAACAAAACCAUGAAAAUAUAAGAGCCUGUUUGAUAUCCUAUAAAAAAAAUUCAUCAUUUCUCAAAAACACUUCUCAAGAAUAUCUCUUAACAACUCUUGAAAAUAAUUUUUUUAAGACUCAAAAACUUGUUUAGUAUGAGAUUUAAAAUUGGUUUUAUAUCUUAAAACUUAAACUGGACACAAAAAUCCAAAGAGAGAGUCACAUGAAAGGGAGAAUGAGGAAAGAGGAGGAAAUAAACAAAUAGAGGAUCAUAUAAGAGAAAAAGACGAGAUAAGAUCAAAGGAGAUAGAUAGGAGGAGAGAAAGAAGAAAAAAGAAAGAAAAUGAAGAGAAUGGAAUGUAGGAGAGAGAAAAUUGAAAAAAACAAUGAGAAAGAGGAGAGAGAAUAAAAAAGACAGUGGAUUUUAAGUUUAAAAUAUUUUGGUGCUUUUGGAGAAUUGAUUAUUUUUUAAGUUAAUAUGAGUUUAAUUUUUUAAAAACAGUCGUGCCAAACAAAAGUUUAAGGCUUAAAACUCAAAAAGUACUUUUGAAUUAAAAAAGUUGAAUUCAAAUAGAAUGAUGGGUAAAUCCUAAAAAAAUUUAACUUUAAAAAGAAUGGAAAAAACAAAGUAGAGGAGGAAGAAACAUGUAAUAGAAAAAGAAGAGAAUGUUGUAAAAUCGACUGUAUGUGUGCGGUGGAACAUAAAGUAGACGAGACACAAUAUUUACGAGGUUCGGCAAGUGUGCCUACGUCCUCAGGCAGCAGUAAUACUUUCUUUCAUUACGCGAAAUAAUAGGAGUACAAAGAUAACUCUCACUAUUUUCUUUCUUCUCUCUAGCCCAGCCACUGGUAUUUUAUUUUGUAUCACUCUUCUUUCUUUUCCUCUUCUCCUCUAUUAUUUUCUUUCUUUCUUUUCUCUUCCUUCCGUAUGUGUCUUUCUUCCACAUGCUCCUUUGUUUUAUAGGCAAAACAAGAGCACUGAAAGCAAGCAGCAGCAGCUCUUAGUGGAAUGGCAUGUUAUGGAGGACAACCUUAUUUCCACUUGCUUGUUUAGUGGACAACUAUCUUGAUUCCUUUGUUGAGUGGACAUCUAAUAUUUACAACACUCCCAUUGGAUGGCCAUAUGUUAAUAUUGGCCACCUCGUUAAAAUCUACAGAGGACGGUGCCAUUCCACCAACGAACCUAGACACAUAUAGAGACCACUUAGUAAAACUCUACUAAAAUGGUUGAAUUUGGAUAAACAAACAACGGAUUUGGAUUCGGAUUUGGCACGUCGAGAAACCUAAGGAGGGACCUCGGGUUCUUUCACACGCCACCACGAGGCAGCGGCUCGAAAAGCCACGUGCCACCACGCACCUAGUUGACCUGUCGAAAAGUUCAUCGGAAAAGUCUACGGCGGUAGAGGCGCAUGUGCUCCAUGUCCAGGCCAUGACUAUUCUCCACGUGGACCCACAUGCAGCCCACGCGUCGACAUAUGAUCUGGGUUUUAGGCUCGGGUCGGGUCGGAUCCAAAUCGGAUCUGGGCUUGGGUUGCUAGGUUGGGGCGGGUAGCUAGGUUAGGCUAAGUAGUGGGUUUUGGAUCUGGGUUCUAGGUUAAUGGAUUGAGCCUGGGCUUGGUCCGGGAUACAUGGUCCAAGGGUUUGGGCUGGUUUGGGAUUACGGGUCGGGUCAAUUCGAUUUCAGGUUGUGGUUCGGCCAGACUCUACGAAGAAGAAAGCCGGAGCUUCCCAAGCUCCGAUCAACCCCAAAAGUUAACUAAAACUAGUCAUUCAAUAUACCAAUUUGAAGCCUAAAAAUAACAAAGGGUUAGUCGGAAAAUAGCCUACAAGUUUUGGGUUCUCAUCGGAAAACUAGGGAACUUUCCUCCAAGGUGUAUUUCUAUGUCAAACGAUACAAUGAGGCCAGAAACAACAUGAAAUUAUGAUCUAGGAGAACCCACAUCGGUUUUGAAGCUUACCUUGCUCGUAAUUGAUAGUCAACAUGAAAUUGAUAGUUCGCCGAGAACUCAACGGGAAAGUCGGGACAUCGAGACACCAUGUUCUCAGCCUGGGUUCAAGACACCGAGAUUCCUAAGAUGAUGGUGGUCUCGGUGGUGUUGUCGAAGAGGGAGGGAUAAGGAAGAGAUGAAGAAUGUUUAUUGGGAAGAGACAAAAAGAGAGAGAUGUCACGGGAGAGAAGAAUGAGACACCACAGAAAUGGGAAAGGAAAUUGCCACGGGUCAGCACAUGAGUGACCCAAAGUGGUAAGUAUCUCCACUUCAAAAAUUACCAAAAUGCCCUUAUCGUUUUGAGUUUCGUCAAAUAUUCGUUCUAACUUCAAAUUCGAUUCCACUUGAUUCCAUACGUUUGUGACGACGAGUAUUAUAAGGAUACACCAAGGAAAAGAGCCUUACGUGUCACAACAUGGCAAUAAACAAAAAUUAACGUUUUUACCUCGAAGGGCAUUUUUGUAAUUUCAUGCUAUAAAAUUAUAAAAACUGUAAUAUUUGGAAACAGGUCAUUACAUUGAGACUUCAAUCCAUGAGGCAACUCUGUAACUUGUAAUCAAUUAGUAAUUUUCAUUACCUUUUUGUACAUCAUGUGAAUUAUAUAAACUGAUAGUGUUUGUUGGGGUUGUGAGUAGGAUUCCAUCAUUGAACUUUAGCCUUCCAUUCACUUAGUUAGCCACCAUUUUUUUCCUUUUGGACUUCUAUGGCCUCAUCGUUGAUCUUUCUGCUUUAGUCUCUUGCACAGUAGAAGUGGUGCGCAACCUUUGCCCUAGGAUGGUCCAUCACUUCUUGGUGACUCAUCCAUGCUUGGCAUCUUUAGUGUAAAGAGCCAAUAGCGUACUAAUUAUUCUGCGAUGUUGGUGACUUGAGACCUAGCUCCAACAAUAGUUGAAGAUGACUACUCGAGAGCAAUGCAAGGAAAGCAAUCUGGGAAAGGUCCUAGGAAGUCAGUUCCUGACUGGAAGUUUGAUUUCAGGUUCUAACUGAUUGCUUUCUUUCUCUUUGCCUUGCAAGUAAGAGCAAGGGCAAAGAAAAAGAUAGGGAAAUAGCAUGAUAUGAGAUACUCUUGUUCUUGACCAUGAUGAUAUGAGAUACUUUUGCUCUUGAAGAUAAACAGUAGAAGGAUUUGAUGUUGAUGUAAACCUUCUCGAUCGAAAUGGGUUUCUUGCUGAGAAAGUGAGUUUGACAUUUUGAAGGACAUGGUUGAACAAGUGUUCAAGAGAAGGAAGACUGAAUAUGUUGAAAGUUUUGGCUGCAGAUGCAUUCUCGGCAAGGAAGAUGAGUUAGGCGUUUUGGAGGUGUGCCUUGCCAUGGAGGAUGAAGGUCGACAUAUAUAGGGAUUUCCCAAUUGCAGGUAGUGGUGCGAAUGUGGCCUUGUCACCCACGAUUGUUGGCAACAGUGGUGUAGUUGGAAUAAUUAACUUUAUGCAUUUUAACUUUGCCAGAGAUAUUUUGACAAAGUUGUCAUUGAUAUCCUGAAAGCUGAGAUUGCAUCUGAGAAGUGUUGAUGAACUUUAUUUAGGAAAAUCCGGUUUUUAAAAUUCAGAAAGCGAUAUCUCUUCGAUUUUUGAACAUGUGGUUGUGUUGCCUCUCAUAAUAUUGCCCGCCUGUAAAAAUAGUCUAUGUUGUAUUUCUGAGAUUUCACUCUACCCAACCCUUUUCUUUCAACAUUUCUGAAAAUGGCUUGCUCAUCCAACCUUUGUUUAGAUUUGAGUCUUGGGGGAGAUGCACAUGAGCUGCGUUAGGAUAAUAUAUGGCGCCUAUCCUUUUUAUCUUCUAAUGACCCUCUUACAGUUGGAGACUUUAUGACGAGAUAUGAUAUAACAGCUACAAUAGUAGGUAGAAACAUUCUCACUCCCAAAGAUAAUAGAAUUCUUUCAAAGAAGUCUGAUGAAUUGUCUGUUUAAGACUCUUUGGCUUUCAGUGUUCGAUGUGCAGGUUCUGUAUCCAAUAUGAGCCAACGUCUACUUGCUCGAACUCGCCAAGUCGAAACAUUAAUGGCGCAAGUCUUAGACAAGAAAUUAGAGGGCUCAAACACGAGAAUAAAGAGUUGCACAAACUUGCAAAUAUUUACUCGACGAGCAUGAAAAGAAAGCUCGACCAGCUACUGGAAUCCGAAAGUCGGAUUCAAAGUGAUCACCAGAGAUUCGUGGCUAGGGUGUCACAUGAUUAAUCUUCAGUGCCUCCUCCUUUUGGGGUAUUGCCAAUUAAUAAGGCUUCACAUGAGCAACCUUUGUGAAGGCCCCCACCCCCCAAAUUUUUUGUUUUUUGUUUUUGUAGUUGUAACUCACAUAUAUGUAUAAAAAAAUAAAAUAAAAAUCUCCCAUUUGAUUUUAUACAUGUCUGAAAGCUUAUACUUUAGCUUGUUAUAUAUGGGAAUUGGGAACCCAUGAAAACUUUUGGUUCCAUCAACAUGAUUCAAUGAGCUUUUAAGUAUAAAUAUUUUCUAAUAUCAUGUGCUUCCACAUGAGUUCUCGAGCAUUAUGAAUUCAUGAAAGUAUCUCUUGUGUAAGAUGUCGAUGGUCACAAAGUUAGGUUUUGCUAAGUUCACCAUUUUCUUAUUCCCAAAAGGAAGAAAUUCAGGUAUGAUGGAAAUUGCGAUAAUUAACUCAUACCACAUAUAACACAUGUCUACACAAAAUGUUAGAACUUCAAUUCUUCACAUUAUUCAUAUUUUGAACAUCAGGUCAAAAUAUUAUUCAUAUGUACUCGAAAUUUAUUUUCAAAAUCGACAUCAUUAGAACCUAUAGGUUCAUAUUUUUGGAAUUCAUACUCAUACUUAAUCUGUACAUGGAUUAAAAAACUUAUGAUCUUACAUGAAUCAAGGAACUUCUGACCCUCAUUUAAUAGUUUGUGGACUAAGGUGCUUAUGGCCAUCACUUUAUUUUAAUUGAGGAACUGCUGCUCUCUCAGUUGAUUCAAAACUUCAGGUUUUGAUUUUUGAUCAAGGAACUUCGGAUCCGAUCUUUUUAUAUGAUGAGGAUCAAGAAACUUCAGGUUCUGAUUUGAUUAAGGAACUUCAGAUCCUUUAAAUACUCAUCAUAACAAAAUGUGAUACACUAAAUAAAUUAAAGCAAUAGACUGUAAUUUCAGCUAUGAUAAAUAAAUUGCUUUUAAGUAAAUAAAACUUGUGACAAUAGCGUUGAUUCAGCUCGAUUUGCAUAAAUAUCAAAACUUUAAUGCAAAAUUUCACCCAUCGUAAAUAAAUAGAACUUGUGAUGAAGUUUUAAACCAGCACCACUCGCAUAAACAUACCAAAACAGAAGAUGCAGUGAUUAAGUCUCCAUCUUUUUUUUAUUUUUUUUAUUCAUCUCACAUGGUAUAAUGCACCAUUCCAAAAGCUUUGGCCUCAUUUCCCUUUUUAUAAUUUUUAUUCUCUUGGACUGGAUUGUUCGUCCAGGUUCUGGAAAUGUAAAUGGGGACUUUAAUCCUUUGGUCAUCAUUUGGUGCACCCCAAGUUAUCUGGGUGUUCUGUGCUUCGCCGGCAAACUGCCAUCUCCGACAUAUGGAGUACCAGGGCCGAGCUCAAUCAAGGCUCAAGGCCAUCGUCCGUGAAACCUUCGAGGACGAUACGACCUUCUACGAUCUCAUUCGAGCCUGGGUCGUCAUCGAUCUUGUCACCAGAGAACCAUGGUGAUUCCAAGCGCCUCAGGCGCUGGAUGUCGACAAGAAGGUAUACAAGUUCGAGAUUGCUUCAGGCGUUGGGCUGUGGAAUUGAGUCCAAUCUCUCACCUUUUUCUUUCUUUAAAUAACCACCACUAAUUUCCUGCUCUAAAAAGCACUGAUGGGUUGUGAAGCCCAAAAGUUCAACAAUCUUUGGGACUUUGUUGGGAUUUGGAAGUGGGAACCUGCAAGCAGAGCCUUCCCCUCCUUUUUCCUUUUUUUUUAAAUAUUUUUUUUUCUUUUCUUAUUGGAAUUUUCACCAUCAUCUUUCCCAGGUGCAUAGUUGAAUUUGCACCAUGUAUGUACUCCUUUAUUAUGCAAAUAAUAGAAGUCAUAUAACAAGAUAUAUGUCAAAUUAAUCGUAUUGAGAUAUGAAAAUAAAAUGAGAAGAUUUUCUUGUCUGUGAAAUUUUAGUCAACAACAGAGAGAUGAGAGGUAGGGAGUGCUUCAUCGGAUUUGUGGGGUGUGAUUUUUACUGAUAUAAGAAUUUCUCGUACUUAUAAUAUGUUGUAAAACUAACGGUAUAUGUGUAAUGAAAUAUAAAGUAAAUGAGACAAUAUUUGCGAAAUUCGGCAAAUGAGCUUAGGUUCUCGGACUAACAAUAGUAUUUUCAUCCAUUACAUGAAAUAAUAAAAGUACAAAAUAACUCCCCUUAUUUUCUCUUUUCUUUUUUAACUCACUCACUAGUAAUUUAUUCUGUAUCUCUUUUCUUUCUCUUCUUCUCUCUCUCUUUUUUCCUUUCUUUUCUCUUCAUUCCGUACGUGUCUUCCUUCCAUAAGCUCCUCUAUUUUAUAGGCAAAGCAGGAGCACCGAAAGCAAGCAGCGGCAGCUCCUAGUGGAAGGACAUAUUCUUGAUUCCUUUGUUGAGUGGACAUCCAAUAUUUACAACAGAGGAAAGGAAGAAGGCGGUUUCUUCCCAAAAGAAACACAGCUGAAUGGCUUGUUCUUCUCUCUCUCUCAACCUCUCUCAACCUCCCUCUAUCUCUCUCUACCUCUCUCUCUCAACAGGGAUCAACAAAAUUAGGGUUCGGAUUUCCAUAAACCCCUUUUUACUCUUUCUGUGCAAGUCCAAGGAAAGGAAGGGGUUUUUGGGUUUGAUCUCUUGGGUUCCGAAGACCCUUUUCUCAGCGGCAGGAUCGAUAUGAAUUCCCCAAUUUUCAAGAGGAAUCCGCAGUCUCUGAGCAAAAUCCGAGUAGCGACACCGCGCCUGUAGCUUCCGCUGAUUCGAUUGAAUUCCAGGGCAAGAAAAAGUAAAUUUCAAGGGAAGUCAAAGGAUUUUACUCCCACUGCUGCCAAGGUACGUACAAUGUGAUGUUAAAUUUAUCCAAUUUUUCGAUUUGGAUUUAGUUGAUAGUUUUUGGGGUUUUGACUUUUCAGUAGAGCAUUAGUUAAAGCAGUUAUCUUUGUGUCCAUAAAGUUGGUAGCGGGAAAUGAAAAUUACCCUGUUAAUUUGUUGCAGCCGCCAUGGCCUCCGAAAGAAGCAUUCGUGUAAGAGCAACAAGGGCUCGAGCUACUGACGAAUUAUAGUCAUAAUCUAGCUGAAAUUGUAAGAAUUGUGAGUUAAAUUUCAAUGCUUUCGAAUCGUUAUAGUGCUAAGUCAUUUCCUUAAUAUCAAGCUUUAUGCUGAAAUUAUAUACGAUUUUGUGAUCUGAACAUGUUUCAGGGUGAAAAAAAUCCCAACCAGUCUCGGCCAAAUAAGUGAUCUGACGUAUCUAUCCUUAUCUGGCAAUCUCCUUAUUGGUGUCAUUCCGUCUAGUUUGGGGCUGCUUGCCUCUUUAGAAGUGCUUGAACUUUCUUCAAACUAUCUCACUGGUGAGAUACCGAAAGAUAUUGUGAAUCUGCUGUUCUUCUGCUCGACAAGAAUAAUAUUUCUGGUCAGAUUCCAUCUCUCACACUGUCAUCUUUCAAUGUGUCUUUCAAUAACAUAUCAGGUUCACUGCCUGCGAAUAAUAACCUGAUGAAAUGCAAUGCUGAUAUAGGAAACCCGUAUCUACACUCUUGCGCCAUGUUUUCUCUGUCACAGGCAGCUUCUGAUUUUCAAGGAAGAGUUGGCGAUUCACAACCUUUUGCUGCUUCACCAAUGGGAGGUCCAACUCAGGAGAGUGGGAACGGUUUCAGUCCAAUUGAGAUAGCAUCCAUUACUUCUGCAGUGGCCAUAGUUUCAGUGCUGCUUGCUCUUGUUGUUCUGUUCUUAUAUACACGGAAAUGGAAUCCAAAGUCUGGAACUCAAGGGUCUACCAGGAAGGAAGUUACAGUUUUCACAGACAUUGGGGUUCCGUUGACCUUUGAGAAUGUUGUGUGAGGCACAGGAAGUUUCAUUGCUAGCACCUGCAUCGGGAAUGGAGGUUUUGGAGCUACCUACAAGGCAGAGAUAUCACCUGGAAUCGUGGUGGCAAUUAAACGGCUUUCAGUUGGAAGGUUCCCAGGAGUCCAACAGUUUCACGCAGAAAUUAAAACCCUUGGAAGGCUUCGGCAUCCAAAUCUUGUCACUUUGCUUGGUUAUCACGCCAGUGAUACAGAGAUGUUUCUAAUAUACAACUAUUUGGCGGGUGGUAAUUUGGAAAAGUUUAUUCAGGAAAGGUCUACAAGGGAUGUGGAUUGGAGGGUACUUCACAAGAUUGCUUUGGACAUAGCCCGUGCACUUGCCUACCUACAUGAUCAAUGCGUACCACGUGUCCUUCAUCGGGAUGUCAAGCCGAGCAAUAUUUUGUUGGAUGAUGAUUUUAAUGCGUAUCUCUCAGGCUUUGGUUUGGCCAGACUUCUGGGAACUUCAGAGACCCAUGCUACUACCGGCGUUGC
RNAcentral lists this long non-coding RNA (11783 nucleotides) under Malus domestica (apple). RNAcentral's name for it is "long non-coding RNA (MDOM_LNC017209)". Lineage: Eukaryota; Viridiplantae; Streptophyta; Magnoliopsida; Rosales; Rosaceae. The record is from RNAcentral.